RNAcentral lists this ribosomal RNA (495 nucleotides) under uncultured bacterium. RNAcentral's name for it is "partial 16S ribosomal RNA". It matches the Rfam family "Bacterial small subunit ribosomal RNA", at positions 28 to 507 of the family's 1533-position model. The record is from RNAcentral.
GACGAACGCUGGCGGCGUGCCUAAUACAUGCAAGUAGAACGCUGAAGGCGGAGCUUGCUUCUCUGGAUGAGUUGCGAACGGGUGAGUAACGCGUAGGUAACCUGCCUGGUAGCGGGGGAUAACUAUUGGAAACGAUAGCUAAUACCGCAUAAGAGUAGCUGUCGCAUGACAUUUGCUUAAAAGGUGCAAUUGCAUCACUACCAGAUGGACCUGCGUUGUAUUAGCUAGUUGGUGUGGUAACGGCUCACCAAGGCAACGAUACAUAGCCGACCUGAGAGGGUGGUCGGCCACACUGGGACGGAGACACGGCCCAGACUCCUACGGGAGGCAGCAGUAGGGAAUCGGCGGCAAUGGACGGAAGUCUGACCGAGCAACGCCGAGUGAGGGAAGAAGGAUGUCGGAUCGGAAAGCUCGGUUGUAAGAGAAGAACGAGUGUGAGAGUGGAAAGUUCACACUGUGACGGUAUCUUACCAGAAAGGGACGGCUAACUACGUG